Molecule: non-coding RNA, 213 nt
Filed under: Clostridium estertheticum
Lineage: Bacteria; Bacillati; Bacillota; Clostridia; Eubacteriales; Clostridiaceae
Description: T-box sequence
Rfam family: T-box leader
About the family: Uncharged tRNA acts as the effector for transcription antitermination of genes in the T-box leader family. T-boxes are found upstream of many aminoacyl-tRNA synthetase genes and some amino acid biosynthetic genes usually in Gram-positive bacteria.
Source: RNAcentral
UAAUAAACUGUGAUGGAGAUAGUAAAUAUAAAAAUGUUUACAGGGAUAAGAAGCCUUAGAUUGAGAGCUUCGAAAAUAAUUUUUAUAUUGAAGUUCACUCUGGAGUUCUAACAGUGAAAUAAAGUAACUGCUAGCGGGUAGAACCGAUAAAUUUAUCUAAGAGGACUAUUUAUUAGUCAAUUAGGGUGGUAACGCGGAUAUUCCGUCCCUUUA